This 460-nucleotide ribosomal RNA is filed under the name uncultured bacterium. RNAcentral's name for it is "partial 16S ribosomal RNA". It matches the Rfam family "Bacterial small subunit ribosomal RNA", at positions 338 to 795 of the family's 1533-position model. The record is from RNAcentral.
CCUACGGGAGGCAGCAGUGAGGAAUAUUGGUCAAUGGACGAGAGUCUGAACCAGCCAAGUAGCGUGAAGGAUGACUGCCCUAUGGGUUGUAAACUUCUUUUAUAUGGGAAUAAAACGUCCCACGUGUGGGAUUUUGUAUGUACCAUAUGAAUAAGGAUCGGCUAACUCCGUGCCAGCAGCCGCGGUAAUACGGAGGAUCCGAGCGUUAUCCGGAUUUAUUGGGUUUAAAGGGAGCGUAGGUGGAUUGUUAAGUCAGUUGUGAAAGUUUGCGGCUCAACCGUAAAAUUGCAGUUGAAACUGGCAGUCUUGAGUACAGUAGAGGUGGGCGGAAUUCGUGGUGUAGCGGUGAAAUGCUUAGAUAUCACGAAGAACUCCGAUUGCGAAGGCAGUUCACUGGACUGCAACUGACACUGAGGCUCGAAAGUGUGGGUAUCAAACAGGAUUAGAUACCCCAGUAGUC